AUGAUUACAGGUGAUGCUCCUAUGCAGUGGAAAACAGUUGAUAUUUUGCUUUUUUCUCAGAUCUGUUUCGUGCUGUUCUUCAGGGUUCCUAAGGUGCUGUCUUGUUUUCUCCUUCUUCCUACUCCGUUGACCUUCCAUAAUGAGCCAUCAGCAAAAUUGUCACUUGGAGGCUUUUCUUGUCAGCUUUAUCGGACAAGUUUACUUGAGACGUCAUUUUUGCCACCGAGUUUAAAUCUGCACUGAAGAGUUUCCUCUCACUUCCUCCAUUCUGUAAAAAGCUUCUGUGACUAUUUAACAGAAUCAUUAGUUCAAAAGGUACAAUGACAACUGCUAGACUCAUCCCUAUCUUGAAUACCUAUCAGCUUUCCCCAACACUUUUGACUUAGAAAAAUAGAGAAUAACCUUGAUUUUCCCAUCUUUUGACUAGAACAAAAUUGAGUGAUUUUCAAUUACAUUAUGAAAUACAGGUUCUCCAACUCCAUUGUACUGAAGCCAUAACGUGCAUAGAAGAAAGGACUUCAGAGGAGCCCUUUGGCUUUCACAAUAUAAUCCAACAUCUGAAAAGACUUAUGCUAAAGAGCUCAUGUCUAAUAAUAAAACACACCAAAUGCU
Molecule: long non-coding RNA, 612 nt
Filed under: Struthio camelus australis
Lineage: Eukaryota; Metazoa; Chordata; Aves; Struthioniformes; Struthionidae
Description: lncRNA (ENSSCUG00000018308.1)
Source: RNAcentral